AAUCGCCACCGAAGAAAAUUUUGUACUCUGUUAAAUAUAAAAAUAUUUAAACACCGUUCUCUAAUAGCUUAAGCUUUUAAAGUGCAACGGUUGUUUCACAUGGUAUCAGAGCAGGAGGUCCUGAGUUCGAGUCACGCCAGACUCCUAGCAUAUUAAUUUCCUUCUAUUUAAUUCAAGCCCACGUUAUGGGCUCACUUUUAAAGUAUACAACGGUUGUUUCACAUACUCUUAACUAUUUUAUAGUAAAGCUUCUUCUUACUCUGGUCAUUAUGAACUUAGGCUUCGGCCAAACCACAUAAAUCUUGUUGUUCUAAGUUUCAUGGUUUUUGUCACUUUUCUGUGCUUUAUUUUUAUUAUCAUUCGUGUGUUGUGCUCCCACUAUUUCUCGGAUCCCAACAGGUAAUUGAAUUUUUUAGUAUGAUUGUAAGUCAGGAAUUUGAUUUUUGGUUCUUAUGAGGUCUUUUUAUCCAUAAUGUGAGAGGAUAACAUAUUUUAUCUAAAAGAUGAUUUAUCUUAUUUUCAAAAAAUAACUCAAAGGUCGAAUAGUGUAAUCCAUUCCAGACAUUUGAUUAAACUCCUUAUUUCUCAAAUAUACAGUAGUAUGACCAUGUUUGGAUGUCAGAAUAAGUUAUUUAAAAUAUGAAAACUUUUUAAUAUGAUUGUAACUAAUGACUUUAAUUUUUGUUUCUUCAAGAGUCUUGCUUGCUAUCCAUUAUUUGGUAAGCUAGCAUAUUUUAGCAACCAUGCGAUUUAUUUUAUUCUGAAAAAUAACUUGAUGGCCGAAUAUAAGAUUUUGAGGAAUGCUUCAAUACACCGGCUAAAUUAAAUCUAGCCGUUCAUAUUUUAAGGGCGAGAUUGACUUUUGCAUAAUAGUUACCUGCUCAACAGGUUACCAAAUUUCGUAAGGGUAAUAUGGAAAAACAAAUACAAGUUAAUUACCAAAUUUGAUUAACCUUACAUAAAUAUUUGUUUCCUUAUUUAAUUUUGUUACUUACCAAAUUAGAUAAUGCUAAUUUGAUAAGUAAUAAACCUUUAUAAAAUUAAAUUUAAUAUUCAAUUUGAGCUUAAAUUUUAUAAUUGUGUAAAUUCAAAUUUAAUUUUAAUUUUAAUUUAAUUAAGCAAUGGACAUGAAUUUCUCUCUCAACCAAAAAAAAAAAAAAGAAAAAAUAGCUUCAGAGGAAGAUGCCUGUGGGUGAAAACUUUCCAAAAAUAGAAUGAGAUAUUUUAUAAUUUCUAAAGGGGCAUUAUGGGAAUAAAAAUAGAAAUUUACAAAAAAAAAGCCUUUCAUGCUAAUUUUACAUACGAGGAAAUAGUUUGCUCUUGGUAAGAGGGUGACUGGUAGCUAAGGUAACAAAAAAAGCCAGUCAUCCUCUUAACUAAAUGACAUCUCCACCAUUCAUUUUAAAAAAUUUAGGGGCCGAAAUCUUUUUGGUGCAUAAGAGCAUUGCUCUUUUACUAAAAGGAAGGAAAGGAAGAAAAUCUUGAGAAACAAACGAAAAUAAUUG
RNAcentral lists this long non-coding RNA (1505 nucleotides) under Ananas comosus (pineapple). RNAcentral describes it as "long non-coding RNA (ACOM_LNC032684)". The record is from RNAcentral. Lineage: Eukaryota; Viridiplantae; Streptophyta; Magnoliopsida; Poales; Bromeliaceae.